UACGGAGGGUGCGAGCGUUGUUCGGAAUCAUUGGGCGUAAAGCGAGCGUAGGCGGAUUUAAAGGUCGGGUGUGAAAUCCCAGGGCUCAACCCUGGAACUGCGCUCGAAACCAUAAGUCUAGAAUCCUGGAGAGGGUAGCGGAAUUGUCGGUGUAGAGGUGAAAUUCGUAGAUAUCGGCAAGAACACCAGCGGCGAAGGCGGCUACCUGGACGGAGAUUGACGCUGAGGCUCGAAAGCGUGGGGAGCAAACAGG
RNAcentral lists this ribosomal RNA (253 nucleotides) under uncultured bacterium. RNAcentral describes it as "partial 16S ribosomal RNA". It matches the Rfam family "Bacterial small subunit ribosomal RNA", at positions 524 to 776 of the family's 1533-position model. The record is from RNAcentral.